UGAAUUUAAUCACCAUGCAUACACAGUCACAGAUGAACUGUAAAAAUUUUUCUGGUUAGAAAAAUGAUACCACUAAUCAUCUGAUACUAAUUUCAGAAUCCUGUUCUUCUGUUGGGCGGUUCUGUUCUCCAUUGAGGCUGGAGUGAACAAUGGAGAACUGCAAGUGGCUAAUGCAUCACAUCACACAAAAGGUCAGUACGGGACGCUUCGAGCCUCAGCAAGUCCUACUGUCCUGUAGAGAGGGAAAGUCCGGCAGCAUUCCUCUGAGCCAGAAAGGAAACCUAGAAGAUGAUUAAAGUUUGGGUUUUUUCGGGCUAUGUGUAUCGAGAAGGAGCCUAGUGUCUACAUGGAGAAACCUGGUUCCGAGGACAGAUCCCGUCCUUCCUGGGACCCAACGGAGGCGGGAAAAGCAGCACCAUCUCCAUCCUGACGGUCUGUUCCCUCUGACCUCUGGUACUGUCUACAUCCUGGGCAGAGACAUCUUGACGCACCUGGGCGCCAUCAGACAGUCUAGGAGUCUGUCCUCAACCCAACGUCCUCUUCAGCAUUCCUUAGAGAUGGACAGUGGACCGUGGAGAGAGGACUUCUGGUUCUCAGGCGUCGUGGUGUACCACUGACACGUCGCGACCAUCCCUGACCUGCCGGCAGCACACCUGGCUGCAAACAACAGACACUUGCAGGAGGUGUUUGAGAGGGGAAGUCAGGCACUGCAGCCAAAAGCUCAGAUUAAAGAAGAAAUUAAAUAACUCAGAUUGCUGACUUAAGUCUACAGGGGGCAAUUCUGAUCACAAAGUUGGGUGUUCUGCGUCAGAUGGAAAGAGAUGUGCUGCCACCACCCCCCCCACACACCACCUUUUUUGUUUAAAUUUAAAAUAAAAUGUAUUAAUGAGUUUGUGUGUAUCUGUGUUUAAAAGUUUAUUUGCACACAAGUAUCGUGAUCAGUUUUUGGGCUGUCGGCUGUGUCUGAUAAUGAGUUACUGCGGAAACUGUUAGUGGCAAGACAGGCGGUGCAGGAUAGAUGAGAGAGUAGCUAAAGGACAUUGACAAAACAAACAUGGAUACAAAACUGAAAGCUAAAAGGGAGAAGGAUAGCAGAGGAUUUAACUAGGAGUAAUAGUCCCAACCAUCCACUUGUUUUCGCUCGACGC
Long non-coding RNA from Perca fluviatilis (European perch), 1148 nucleotides. RefSeq lists it as uncharacterized. Lineage: Eukaryota; Metazoa; Chordata; Actinopteri; Perciformes; Percidae. The record is from RefSeq and is a predicted model, not a curated record. The transcript is spliced from 7 exons.